GAUCUUGAAGAGCAGAUUCCUUCCAUUGUUAUAAAAAAGGAUGGAGAAAUUCCUGAGAAGAAGUUUUUAAGUACUGCUAAUUUGGCAAGGAAGCACCGUGGGUGAGUAAGCAGGAAGGCUGGCUUCACUGAAAUAGCCUGGGAACAAGAUGUCAGAGGUGGCAGGUGGCGGUUCUAUGCUAAGGACAUCUGUUUCCUUGCAGUGUCAGCUCCGAUGCUAACGUGAGGUUAGUUCCAUUCCUUUCGGCACUUGGUUUUGGGAAUCUGAAAAGUCUGAGUAUUCGGGGUAACAGUGCACAUACCAGGGAGAGGGCCCAUCCAACUACUCUGGCCUCAGAAUUUUCUUUUUUUAAUUAAAAAUUCUUCUUGGGAAAUUUCAUAGGGAGAGUACGGGCAGGUGGUGUUAAGAGUGGGGGGAGAAAAAUCUUCUUUGUCCCUUGGGGACUAAGAGCAACGCCUGUUCUACCGAGAUUUGUGGUCCAAUUUAUCUUCCUUAAAUGACCACAUAGGAAAAUGAUGACAGCAGCGAAGCGACAUUAGAAAUGUGAAAUGGAUAAAUAAAACGUGGGUGAGCACUCUGGCUGUUGAACCCACUUGAAAAAUGGAGAUCUAAAGAGCACACAAACCAAACUAGAAGAGGCCUUUAGAAGGAAGGCACCGGAACAAAUGUCAAAUGUUUAUCGGAACAAAAAGAGAAACUGAUGUGCACAAGCCCUCAGGCCCCUUGCAGGGUCCUUUCUUCUUGAGCAAGGCUGAACAUUUCCACAGGUCAUUUCCCCGCAGUAGUUCUAGCUGCUUCUAGUAAUGACGGAGCAGCGCGUAGCGAUCGGAGCGGAAGGGGCCUUCGAGGUCACACUUUAUAGUCCGACCACUUCACGCUGCAAAUGAGAAGCCAGGCCCAGAGAGAUGAAGUGGCAUGGCCUGAUAUUUGAUGUGUGUUUUCUUGGGGGAUGUUUACAGAAAUCAAAUCAUCUCCCAGAUCGGCGUGCGGGCUGAAGCAGCGGCAACCACCCACAUCCGCGAACCCUACUACGGUCCGGACACCGGAGAGGGGCCAACAUGAUGUCAUCCAGUCUUCACAGCAGCCGCCAACAGCGAGACUCAUGGACACGCUGGGGGACACUCAUGGAUUCCUUCCCGUCCACUCCUUCCUUCCACAUGUGGAAGCUCAGGCAGAGAGAAGUCAAGUCGCUUGCCCAAGGUCUGUGAGUCUUAAUAUUUAAAUGCUGAAGAUAAACUCCAAGCCCUUCGAAGCACGGCCCUUUUGAUUUUGCGCCAACCGCCGGUGCACCCAGUGAAGAACUUGUCCUUCACUCGAUGAGUUAGAGCUUCACCGAGGGCACAGGUUGAAAAGUCCAGUUUAGUAAACACGGGCAUUAGCAGUAACCCAAUUCCGUGCGUGCUUCCUGGGUUCCAAGCACUAUGCUGAAUGCUUUACAGGGGCGAUUUAGCCUCUACUGUAAGCCUGCGGUACAGGUAAUAGCAUCAAUCUUAUUUCUGUUCUAAGGAAUAGGAGCUCCAGAGGACUGAGCCUCGUGCCCCUAGAUGCACAGCCAGCUGGCAAGCGGCUGAGUCUUAGCACUGGAAAGGACUCACAGCGCCAACUCACCCACAGGCAGAAUUUUAUUCCCAGAGAGUCAAGAAACUUGCCUGAGGUAAGAAGGGAGAGCCAAACUAUAACAGACUCUUAAAAACUGAGAACAAAUGGAGGGUUGAUGGGGGGUGGGAGGGAGGGGGGGGUGAGUUGAUGGGCAUUGAGAAGGGCACCUGUUGGGAUGAGCACUGGGUGUUGUAUGGAAACCAAUCUGACAAUAAAUUUCAUAUUAAAAAAAAAAAAGGAAGAAGA
This 1845-nucleotide long non-coding RNA is filed under the name Felis catus (domestic cat). RNAcentral describes it as "lncRNA (ENSFCAG00000041172.2)". Lineage: Eukaryota; Metazoa; Chordata; Mammalia; Carnivora; Felidae. The record is from RNAcentral.